RNAcentral lists this ribosomal RNA (253 nucleotides) under uncultured bacterium. RNAcentral's name for it is "partial 16S ribosomal RNA". It matches the Rfam family "Bacterial small subunit ribosomal RNA", at positions 524 to 776 of the family's 1533-position model. The record is from RNAcentral.
UACGAAGGGGGCUAGCGUUGCUCGGAAUCACUGGGCGUAAAGCGCACGUAGGCGGAUUGCUAAGUCAGGGGUGAAAUCCUGGAGCUCAACUCCAGAACUGCCUCUGAUACUGGCGAUCUUGAGUCCGGGAGAGGUGAGUGGAACUGCGAGCGUAGAGGUGAAAUUCGUAGAUAUUCGCAAGAACACCAGUGGCGAAGGCGGCUCACUGGCCCGGUACUGACGCUGAGGUGCGAAAGCGUGGGGAGCAAACAGG